UUUCACUUAGAUUCAUGGGAUCUGGUUCAUGCAGUCUUCUGCUCCCUUGCUUUCUCUCCUCUACCACUCAUCUUAUGAACGUUUUGCAGCCAAAGACUUUUACCCAAAAAUGAGCCUGAAGGGGAAGGAAGACACUAGUCACUUU
Equus caballus (horse) is the source of this 145-nucleotide non-coding RNA. The record is from Rfam. NCBI's taxonomy places the organism in Eukaryota, Metazoa, Chordata, Mammalia, Perissodactyla, Equidae.